AGAUGCUUAGUGUAUAUAUAUAUAUAUAUAUUUACUGUCACAUCACUUUCAGUAAUCGAUUAUCAAGUAGUACCUCAUAUUCAAAAUCGGGUAGCACAACUGAUAUUUACCCAGACUUUCCGCUCCAUGAGUAUUCAAUAGUUACUCGCAAAUAUAUGUAAUGAUGCUAAUGAAUGAAAUCAUUGUCAUGAAAUAUGCCCUUGACGAGCGUAAUGCUAUUAUGCCUUCACUGGAACUCACCUAAUUCGACCCUUUUUAUUGACAAGAAUGAACAGCCAUAUGAAUAUUGCAAAUAACUCAACAAUUUAUUUCGGAAACUAGAUAUAUCUUGGAAUAAUCAUGCUAACCUACGGGGUAACCUCCUUUAGUAGAGACCAGUGAUCACUUCCUAUCAGUAACACACAUACAUCAACAAACCUUAGGACUUGGUAUCCAUUUAUACACUCAUUUGCUCCAACAAUUCCAUGACCUGGUGGAGAAAAAUUGAAUCAUGCUCUCACAGAAAAAGAUGAUUCUUGCUAAAAAGGAAAUUGAUUUUCUAGGGAUGCAUUUUGUUCAUGGAGCAUACAGCCCAGGGCCACAUAUUUGUCAAGAGCUGCUCAAAUUCCCAGACACCAAUUUUACAACGAAGCAGCUCCAACAGUUUUUAGGUGUGAUUAAUUAUGUUAGAGAUUUUAUCCCUAAUGUCUCUACAUACAUUGCUCCACUUACAAAAAUGCUCAAGAAGAAUGCCCAAGGUUGGGGAAAGGAACAGGAUGAAGCAGUUCGGAGAAUAAAAGAAAUCUCAAAAGAAGUCAAAGCUCUCUAUAUUUCGUCAGACGGAAAAAAGCUAUUGCAGAGGAUGCCAGCAACUAAUAUUGGAGUGCGGUACUUUUUGAAGACAAAGAUGGCCAACAGACAAUAUGCGGAUAUGCCAGUGGAAAGUUCAAAGAUGCUGAACAACACUAUCAUUCCACAUUCAAAGAAAUUCUUUCCGUAAAGAAUGGGAUUAAAAAGUUUAAUUUCUUUUUAAUUCACACAGAGUUUCUUAUCGAGAUGGAUAUGAAGGCUUUCCCGAAGAUGAUCCAGAUAAAUCCAAAUAUUAUCCCAAAUCCGUAGAUUCUUAGAUGGGCACAAUGGUUCUCCCCUUAAAAAUUCCAGAGCAAAGUGAGGUGUUCUUCCAUAGUAUCACUAAAGAGUAAGAUGUCAUCAAUGUAAACUAGUGAUGUAUGGAGGAUGGGUUGAAAUAAUUUUAUCAUGGCUUUUUGGAACAAUGAGGGUGCCAUUUUCAACCCAAAUGGCAUGACCUUCCAUUGAGAGUGAUGAUCGGGUCUACAAAACCCUAUUUUUGGUCGAUCUUCUGGGUGUAUUCCCAAUGGCCAAAACCCCGAUUUAAGGUCAAACUUGGAAAAUUAUUUAGCUUUGGCUAAGGGUGAAAAAAGGCCGAGUUUAUUUGGGAUAGGGAAUUUAUCAUCUUGGAGGAAAUAGUUUAGAGAUAAUUCUCUGUGCUUCGCUGUAUUCAUCUUCUAAGGACAAGAUAGAGACGGAGAAUUCCCACCAUAGUGAAAUAUCUGGCUGAGCAUAGACCUUCCCAUCAAUAAUCUUUAUCGGUCGAUGUAACAUGAACACUUUCACUGCGGGAAGAACAUCUCACUUUGCACCAACAAUUCCAUGACCUAGUGGAGAAAAAUGAAAUCAUGCUCUCACAGAAAAAGAUGAUUAUUCCUAAAAAGUAAAUUGAUUUUCUAGGGAUGCAUUUUUUUCAUGAAGCAUAUAGCCCAAGGCCACAUAUUCGUCAAGAGUUACUCAAAUUCCCAGACACCAAUUUUACUAAACUGCUCCUCUCUCCGAAAGAGAUAGACUGGCUCUGAUCCCAUGAGGUGUGUAUGUUACACCCCAUAAAAUUUCGCGUUACUAAGGCUGCAGACGGCUUAAUGUGAGCUCAAGAAGGAGCAAAUAUUACAAGUAUAAAGGAUGAAAUUCUACUGUGUUAGCAUGAGGAUAGCAUGAGUAUGAUAUUUGGAAUUCAUACAAUAUGAUUGGAAUGAUACGUUAAAAGAUAUAUAUCCCUCGUAACCGUAAGCUGAGGUGGGGCCCAUAUGUCAAGAUUUUAUAAAGGCUAUAUGACAAGUUAUAUGAAUAGUAUAUGGGAAGUUGAUCAAUUCUUAAGAAGGACUCUUAAGCAAUCCAAAAGGAUGAUUUAAGGGUAGGUUUUCGGGUGAUCUAGCUUUACGAGGCCAACACGCCAUUAUAAGUUUAGAAUUUGGGAAAACGCAAAAAAAGACAGUUGUAGAUAAUUGAAAUAACUUUCCAACCAUAGGUUUUGGGCCUUCAUACGACAUAAGGAUUAAAAUUUAUGGAUGUUUUAAGGCGGAAAGGUCAAACUGGGCAGUGGGCUCGGCCCAACCCGAAUCCAAGUCGGGUCAGGCCCACUUCCCUUGCUAUUUAAGGAAAAUUUUCACCCUUAUCUUCCUCAUUUCAUAAGAAAAAGAUCCAGAACAUUUUAGAGAGAGAGUGAGGAGAGUUAGAGAGAUAAAACAAGGAUUCAAUCAAGUUCGAGGCCCCGAAUCCCGAGGCUCGUGAAGGAUAAAGUGUAGUACGAGUUGUCGUCGUCGUUUUAAGCUAAAUAUUGAGCUUAGGGGAUGAUAUUUUCUAGGUUGAGCUGCUGCUAAGUUGACUAAGCCCGGGAGGGGACUCGAGGAUUAUCUUGAGGCGUAAAUAAGCCCCAUAUUGUUUGGCAGGUUAAGUGUAUAGCUAGGAUGCUUGGACGUCAGCUGAGAUUUGGCAAGUUCCACCUCAUUCUGGAGUUGUGCUGAGUCAUGUAUAGAUAUGUAUGAUUAUGGGUAUGUCAAGGCCCUGUCCUGACUCAUAAUGUUCAGUUUACUUCUUAGAGACUUCUGCAGACAGUGUCCUGUGGUAUGUUUAUCGAGAUGUCGACUGUCCUGACUCAUAAUGUUCAGUUUACUUCUUAGAGACUUCUGCAGACAGUGUCCUGUGGUAUGUUUAUCGAGAUGUCGACAAAGUGAUGUCAGUUGAGUCAUUUGUGGAUUUUAAAAGAGUAUGUAUUUUAGAUAAUUUCAAUUGAUUU
Molecule: long non-coding RNA, 3067 nt
Organism: Lycium barbarum (goji berry)
Lineage: Eukaryota; Viridiplantae; Streptophyta; Magnoliopsida; Solanales; Solanaceae
Exons: 3
Source: RefSeq, a predicted model, not a curated record